AUCAUGUGACCUUUGCUUAGGCUCUGACUCUCUCUCUCUCUCUCUCUCUGAUAAAAGCCCAUCAAGAAACCUGUCUUCCCAACCAUUCCAACCACCAAAGGCCCAAGAAAGAUUUAAUCUUUUUACUGUUUGAUUCUCUUUUUUGUACUAAUUCAUUGUUUUCUUUUCAUUUGAGGGGUUUUUUAUUUUUUCUUUGAUAGUGUGUGUUCUGUGUGUGUUGUGAUGCUACAAUGGCUGCAAGUGCUUCAAGAUUCAUCAAGUGUGUGACUGUGGGUGAUGGGGCUGUUGGCAAGACUUGUAUGCUCAUAUGCUAUACAAGCAACAAGUUUCCUACUGACUAUAUACCAACAGUUUUUGAUAACUUCAGUGCAAAUGUGGUGGUUGAAGGAACUACAGUCAACUUAGGCCUUUGGGACACAGCUGGUCAGGAAGAUUACAAUAGAUUAAGGCCCUUGAGCUACAGAGGAGCGGAUGUGUUCGUCUUGGCAUUUUCAUUAGUCAGUCGUGCAAGCUACGAAAACAUAGUUAAAAAGUGGAUCCCUGAACUUCAGCACUUUGCUCCUGGGAUUCCCGUUGUGCUAGUCGGCACCAAACUAGAUCUUCGCGAGGAUAAACGCUACUUGGCUGAUCAUCCUGGACUAGUUCCUGUUACUACAGCUCAGGGGGAGGAGCUCCGCAAACACAUUGGUGCGUCUUACUACAUCGAAUGCAGUUCCAAAACCCAACAGACAGCUUUCAAGCUGGAUCUGUCUGAUGAUGAUGCAAUGAUUUCUGCCCCUUUAAUGAGAUAUGCAGAACGUGAAAGCCGUUUUUGACGCUGCGAUCAGGGUAGUCAUCAAGCCACCACAAAAGCAAAGGGAGGAGAAAAGGGCACGUCGAGGAUGUUUUGUGAAAAUCUUCUGCGGAAGAAGAACCGCCUGUCUGGAGUGAAAUCCAUCAUUAAGAAGGUCUUGAUCUUGUUCAAUUUGCUGACACAAUUGUGCUUGUUAUAUUUUUAAGGUUGAUCACAUGUUCCCCAACUGAAUAACCUCGGAUCAUGCUUUACUGUUGGAAAAACAUGUCUGUUAACUGGAAUAGGGAUGGAGGAACAAUUCUUGGCUAUAGUAUUCACUUUAUUUCUACAUUUGCUUGUCUUGUACGAUGCAAGGAAACAGUUUACAAUGUGAUUGGUAGAAUUCCACCAAAGAUAUU
Molecule: RNA transcript, 1191 nt
Organism: Sesamum indicum (sesame)
Lineage: Eukaryota; Viridiplantae; Streptophyta; Magnoliopsida; Lamiales; Pedaliaceae
Gene name: rac-like GTP-binding protein ARAC10
Source: RefSeq, a predicted model, not a curated record